ACGCCGCGUGGAGGUUGAAGGCCGUAAGGUUGUAAACUCCUGUUAGAGGAGAAGAACAAGUACCGAUUGGAUCGGUAUUUGACUGUACCCUCAGAGAAAGCCCCGGCUAACUACGUGCCAGCAGCCGCGGUAAUA
This 135-nucleotide ribosomal RNA is filed under the name uncultured bacterium. RNAcentral's name for it is "partial 16S ribosomal RNA". It matches the Rfam family "Bacterial small subunit ribosomal RNA", at positions 394 to 525 of the family's 1533-position model. The record is from RNAcentral.